ACAGCAGCAGCCACGGGAAUACAGAGGGUGCGAGCGUUAAUCGGAUUUACUGGGCGUAAAGCGUGCGUAGGCGGCUAAUUGAGUCGGAUGUGAAAUCCCCGAGCUUAACUUGGGAAUUGCAUUCGAUACUGGUUAGCUAGAGUGUGGGAGAGGAUGGUAGAAUUCCAGGUGUAGCGGUGAAAUGCGUAGAGAUCUGGAGGAAUACCGAUGGCGAAGGCAGCCAUCUGGCCUAACACUGACGCUGAGGUACGAAAGCAUGGGGAGCAAACAGGAUUAGAUACCCCGGUAGUCCCUGUCUCUUAUAC
Molecule: ribosomal RNA, 305 nt
Filed under: uncultured bacterium
Lineage: Bacteria
Description: partial 16S ribosomal RNA
Rfam family: Bacterial small subunit ribosomal RNA
Source: RNAcentral